AACGAACCCUGGCGGCAUGUCUAAACCAUGCAAGUCGACCGAGACCUUCGGGUCUAGUGGCGCACGGGUGCGUCACGCGUGGGAACCUGCCCUUAGGUUCGGAAUAACUCCCCGAAUGGGGCGCUAAUACCGGAUAACGUCUUCGGACCAAAGACUUCUCGCCUUUGGAUGGGCCCGCGUUGGAUUAGCUAGUUGGUAGGGUAAAAGCCUACCAAGGCGACGAUCCAUAGCUGGUCUGAGAGGAUGCUCAGCCACACUGGGACUGAGACACGGCCCAGACUCCGACGGGAGGCAGCAGUGGGGAAUAUUGGACGAUGGGCGAAAGCCUGAUCCAGCAAUGCCGCGUAAGUGAGGAAGGCGUUAGGGUUGUGAAGCUCUUUUACCUGGGAUGAUAAUGACAGUACCGGGAGAAUAAGCUCCGGCUAACUCCGUG
This 433-nucleotide ribosomal RNA is filed under the name uncultured bacterium. RNAcentral's name for it is "partial 16S ribosomal RNA". It matches the Rfam family "Bacterial small subunit ribosomal RNA", at positions 29 to 507 of the family's 1533-position model. The record is from RNAcentral.